GGUCCGUUGGUCAAGGGGUUAAGACGCCGCCUUUUCACGGCGGUAACACGGGUUCGAAUCCCGUACGGACUA
RNAcentral lists this transfer RNA (72 nucleotides) under Streptococcus agalactiae. Its description in RNAcentral is "tRNA-Glu". It matches the Rfam family "tRNA". From Rfam's summary of the family: Transfer RNA (tRNA) molecules are approximately 80 nucleotides in length. Their secondary structure includes four short double-helical elements and three loops (D, anti-codon, and T loops). The record is from RNAcentral. RNAcentral also lists the same sequence under 3 other names. Lineage: Bacteria; Bacillati; Bacillota; Bacilli; Lactobacillales; Streptococcaceae.